GUCUUGGCUGUCCCCAUUGACCUUAUGCUAAUCAAGGGACCUAUAUUUAGGGUUUCAUUCCUUCCUUGAUCUUUAGUUCUCCUUUUCUUUGUGAUACAAGAUUAAGUUGUAGAACAAGAAUUGUAGUAGGAACUUCUAUUGUUUUUAGGUAAAACAAAUGGCAGAAUUAUCCUUAGAAACACCCACUUGACCAUGAUGUAAAAAGUCUGAGCCAGAGUUUGACUGUUUCUGUAUAAAUAAAGCGGACAGCUUUCCC
Ochotona princeps (American pika) is the source of this 256-nucleotide long non-coding RNA. RefSeq lists it as uncharacterized. The record is from RefSeq and is a predicted model, not a curated record. The transcript is spliced from 2 exons. NCBI's taxonomy places the organism in Eukaryota, Metazoa, Chordata, Mammalia, Lagomorpha, Ochotonidae.